Molecule: long non-coding RNA, 557 nt
Organism: Hibiscus syriacus
Lineage: Eukaryota; Viridiplantae; Streptophyta; Magnoliopsida; Malvales; Malvaceae
Exons: 3
Source: RefSeq, a predicted model, not a curated record
AACGGAAGAAUCCUUAAACAAGUUAAAAAAAAUAAAACCCUAAAAACAUAUUAUUGUUAACAUUUCUUCUCUACAACCGUUUCCUUCUCCCUCUACUCUCCUUCUUCCCCUUUCUCUUCUUCAACAUAAACGAUUGCCAUGGUCUGAACCAAAGCCACCAGACUGAACACAACAAGCUUGAACCGGUGCUAAACUCUAACUGAAAUACACUACAUGACGAUCCCUAAGAACCGAGCCUCCACUUCUCCCUCUAUUUCUCUCGAUCAAUUCCUCUCAAAGGCUACCCGAAACCAAUUGUUCGGCCUGACCACUUAGCCUCUCGGCCUUGAAGACCAUCACUGCAGUCAUGGGAGCCUACAACAGUAAGGAACCCACUGCUCGCUAACACUCGACCGGUUAAGCUUCAAUGGAUGGCAUGAUUGGCGCGAGUAUGGAUCUUCUCGGUGAGUGAUAGCAACACGUGGGAGGCAUUGGCUUGGCGUUGACUUAAACCAGAUCAAGUUGCUGGGUCUAAUCCGGGUCUUGGGCUUGAACCGGGUCUUGGGCUUGUUGUAAUU